GGCUUCUUAGGCCUCUUUAGUAGCGUCAUCUAUAGUAGUAGGUAGACCUAGAGAAAAAAAAGAUACGAUAUAUUAUGAUAUAAUAUCUUUAGUAUCGUCGUUUAUAGUAGUAGGUAGGCCUUAAUGAGUUCUUGUAAAGAUCAACCAAUUCAUCCACCACUCUCUCAAUGUCAUUUUCUCCAUUUUCUCUCAUUUUUUCACCAAACUCCUUUGCUUUUUUCCUCACACUCUCUCCCCUUUUCUCAAACACCAUUUCUCUUACAACCUUAGCCACUCCUUCUUUGCUAAACUUUCCUUCUUCAUCUUUAGGAAUUUCCAAUCCUACCCUUACCUCAUUAACCAAUAGCCUCGCGUUAAGUGGUUGCUCAUGUUGCACGGGCAAGGCUAUAAUUGGAACACCACAACUAAGCGCCUCCAUUACUGAAUUCCAUCCACAGUGACUUACGAAUCCGGCAAUACUCGAAUGCUUCAAAAUUCGCCCUUGUGGGGCCCACUCUUCAACUAUUAACCCUCUAUUCCAAUUUCUCUCGUAAAACCCUUCAGGUAGAACUUCUCGAAUCUCCAUUUUAUAACUCCCCGGAAAUCUAAUCACCCAUAUGAAAUUCACCAUGCUAAGUUCUAACCCUAGUGCCAUUUCUUGAAUUUCCUCUUUGGUGAAGUAAAGUUCACUCCCAAAACUAAUAAAAAUUGUUGAACAUUUCUCUUUCUCAUUGAGCCAUUCAAUGAUCUUAUCAUUAUACUCCCCACCAUCUGUUUGAUCAAAUGCUCGAACGAGAGGUCCAACAGGAACAAACCUUUUGUUAAACAAAAACGUGAGGUAAUCAAUAAACUUACCUUCUAGCUCUUUGAAAGUCUUGAUCAAGAUGAUCCCUUUCGAUCUUUCAAAGCACCUCGUGAUACCAUGUUUCUCGUCAAUGCCAUCAUCCUCGAGAGAAUCGAAUACUCUCUUGUUUCUCCUAUGUUCAUGAUCCUUGAAGAAGAUUUCAGGAAAAGGGUAAUCAAUACUUGGAUUGUUAUCUCUAACAUGAUAGUGAUAACUGUUUGCUGCAGCACCAGAGGUGAGAAACAGGACAGCUGGGAAAUGCAAUGUAGAAGCCAUUAAAGGAAUACAUGGUAGGAGAAAAUCAUAGAUGAUCAGAUCAGGUUUUAGAGUUUCAAGAAUGGUGAAAAAGUCGGGUUUUCCCUUAAGGAAGAUCAGUUUCAGAGUGUUGAUGAGAUGGGGGUGAAGGCCAGCUGUGGUGUGUGAAGUACGAGGAAGAUGAGGCAAAUACGGGAGUACGAUAUCCAUUAGCUUAACGUGUCUAGUUUCUUCGGGAGAGAGUGUGUCUUUGAAGUAAGCGAGAUUAGCAUGUGUUGUGUAGAGGUAAGUUAUGAAAUUUCUCUUUGCAAGUGCCUUUGCUAGCUCUAGAAAUGCGCUGAUAUGACCUCGAGCUAACCAUGGAAACAUCACAAUUCUGAUGUUUUUCUUUCUUUCUUCCAUCAAGAUUGAGGGAUUUUGAAUCGUAGUUUAGAUUCAAGUUGAAAAAAAGGGACUUACCAAGUAAGCACGAAAAGGAAAUCCUAUUUGAGGAAUUCAAGCAGAACAAACAGGAGUUACCACAUUGGGAAGAAGACGAUACAAAAGGAGAGGGCUUAUUAUCUAGCUGAAAGAAGGAGGUAUACAUACAUAUAUAUAUAUAUACAUAUAAAACUACUUGUUGAAGCUCAACCAUCGAUACAAAAUGGAGAUCAUAACGUGGCAAGCACAAUGAGAAAAUAUGAUUGCGUGUAUGAAUUGGAUAUAACGAGUUACGAAAGAGACGUGGAAAAACAGGGUGGAAGAGGAGAUGACGACAAGAACUGUGAUGUGGAUAUUCGCGGUGAGAAACGACAUUCGGACGGAGACAUGGUUAAGACAGGUGAUGGAGGCGCUUAGGAUGGACAUGAACUGAUCAAAGGUUGUGUUUGCAUUAUACCAUGAUGCAAGAAAAAUGAACAACAACAUACCUAGUACCUAGUGUAACUCCAAAAACGAGGGCCGGAGAGGGUGGUGCGUACGCAGCCUUAACCCUACCUUUCGAAGGUAGAGAGGAUGCAAGAAACAUAUCGGAAAAACCUAUAUUUGUGAAAAGAUGGGUACUCUCUCUCUUUCCAUCCGUCUAAGUUUUAGAUGACAGAGUUACUCAAUACCUACGCUGGCGGGAGGUAGCAGAUACCCCACACGUCUUAUAGGAGUGUACGAUUGACUCGGUCAGGUGGCAAACAAGUGGUUGAAUAGUUAAGGUGCGUGCAAGUUGAUCCAGAGGACAUCAUUAUGAAAAACAGGUUCGAUCUUCAACAUUUCAUUAACACAGUCUUUCCCCUUUGCGAUUACACAUUUUCUUGUCAUAUUGAACUAGUAAACUUUAACGUUUUGAAAUGAAGCGUGUUUUGAAUAUAUUUACUUGAAAUCUUGUUACGUACACAGUUGAAGUCUAAAAUAUCUAGAGGACCAAGACUAUGAUCAGAAACACAUACUACAUUUUCGUAGUUCUUGAACAAAAGGUUGAAUUGCACACUAACGAUUCAAUAAGGAUAGUCUUUUUUUCUGUAGUAUGAGGAUCCAAUAAGGAUUCGAUUCCUCCUCUCUCGAGUGUGCCUGGACGUGCUGUUUAACUUGACACAAGAUAUCUGAACAGAAGACUUUUCGAUUAUACAAUGUGUAAACCUUCCAAGCACAAACCUCUGAACCAUUCAAGCAGAGUGAUAGUGAGAAUAAAUUCAGAUGAACUCGAAUCAUCAUUAUCGUUACGUUGAGGAUUAGCCAGCAGUAUUUCACCUGUUGGAAGGUUAGCAAAACUACACUACAUAUUAUUGGUAUAAAAAGCUUCUUAUAAAUCAUCUUAUUUUAUUUUCAAGAUUACAAAUGUGUAUUAUAUGAGUGAACUAAUUGGUUUCGUUGUCAUUUCUUUCAAUAAUGAUAUAUAAAAAACUCAAGUCAGAUUCGAAC
Solanum pennellii is the source of this 2968-nucleotide long non-coding RNA. RefSeq lists it as uncharacterized. NCBI's taxonomy places the organism in Eukaryota, Viridiplantae, Streptophyta, Magnoliopsida, Solanales, Solanaceae. The record is from RefSeq and is a predicted model, not a curated record. The transcript has 2 exons.